Molecule: ribosomal RNA, 495 nt
Filed under: uncultured bacterium
Lineage: Bacteria
Description: partial 16S ribosomal RNA
Rfam family: Bacterial small subunit ribosomal RNA
Source: RNAcentral
GACGAACGCUGGCGGCGUGCCUAAUACAUGCAAGUAGAACGCUGAAGGAGGAGCUUGCUUCUCUGGAUGAGUUGCGAACGGGUGAGUAACGCGUAGGUAACCUGCCUGGUAGCGGGGGAUAACUAUUGGAAACGAUAGCUAAUACCGCAUAGGAGUAGAUGUUGCAUGACAUUUGCUUAAAAGGUGCAAUUGCAUCACUACCAGAUGGACCUGCGUUGUAUUAGCUAGUUGGUGGGGUAACGGCUCACCAAGGCGACGAUACAUAGCCGACCUGAGAGGGUGAUCGGCCACACUGGGACGGAGACACGGCCCAGACUCCUACGGGAGGCAGCAGUAGGGAAUCUUCGGCAAUGGACGGAAGGCUGACCGAGCAACGCCGCGUGAGUGAAGAAGGUUUUCGGAUCGUAAAGCUCUGUUGUAAGAGAAGAACGAGUGUGAGAGUGGAAAGUUCACACUGUGACGGUAUCUGACCAGAAAGGGACGGCUAACUACGUG